UGGGGGAUAUUGCACAAUGGGGGUAAACCCUGAUGCAGCGACGCCGCGUGGGUGAAGAAGCGCCUCGGCGCGUAAAGCCCUGUCAGCAGGGAAGAAAAUGACGGUACCUGAAGAAGAAGCCCCGGCUAACUACGUGCC
RNAcentral lists this ribosomal RNA (138 nucleotides) under uncultured bacterium. RNAcentral's name for it is "partial 16S ribosomal RNA". It matches the Rfam family "Bacterial small subunit ribosomal RNA", at positions 355 to 509 of the family's 1533-position model. The record is from RNAcentral.